Molecule: ribosomal RNA, 625 nt
Filed under: uncultured bacterium
Lineage: Bacteria
Description: bacterial SSU rRNA
Rfam family: Bacterial small subunit ribosomal RNA
Source: RNAcentral
UACCGCAUAAGCGCACGGGAACGCACGUUUCUGUGUGAAAAACUCCGGUGGUGUAAGAUGGGCCCGCGUUGGAUUAGGUAGUUGGUGAGGUAACGGCUCACCAAGCCGACGAUCCAUAGCCGACCUGAGAGGGUGACCGGCCACAUUGGGACUGAGACACGGCCCAAACUCCCACGGGAGGCAGCAGUGGGGAAUAUUGCACAAUGGGCGCAAGCCUGAUGCAGCGACGCCGCGUGAGCGAAGAAGUAUUUCGGUAUGUAAAGCUCUAUCAGCAGGGAAGAAAAUGACGGUACCUGACUAAGAAGCUCCGGCUAAAUACGUGCCAGCAGCCGCGGUAAUACGUAUGGAGCAAGCGUUAUCCGGAAUUACUGGGUGUAAAGGGAGCGUAGACGGAUCUGCAAGUCUGAUGUGAAAGGCGGGGGCUCAACUCCUGGACUGCAUUGGAAACUGUAGAUCUUGAGUGCCGGAGAGGUAAGCGGAAUUCCUAGUGUAGCGGUGAAAUGCGUAGAUAUUAGGAGGAACACCAGUGGCGAAGGCGGCUUACUGGACGGUAACUGACGUUGAGGCUCGAAAGCGUGGGGAGCAAACAGGAUUAGAUACCCUGGUAGUCCACGCGGUAAACGAU